RNAcentral lists this ribosomal RNA (820 nucleotides) under Astrosphaeriella neostellata. RNAcentral describes it as "eukaryotic LSU rRNA". It matches the Rfam family "Eukaryotic large subunit ribosomal RNA", at positions 80 to 918 of the family's 3401-position model. The record is from RNAcentral. Lineage: Eukaryota; Fungi; Ascomycota; Dothideomycetes; Pleosporales; Astrosphaeriellaceae.
UCAGUAACGGCGAGUGAAGCGGCAACAGCUCAAAUUUGAAAUCUGGCUCCCUCGGUGCCCGAGUUGUAAUUUGUAGAGGGUGCUUCGGCGUCGGCCCGGGCCUAAGUUCCUUGGAACAGGACGUCACAGAGGGUGAGAAUCCCGUACGUGGCCCCCGGCCUUCACCAAGUGAGGCCCCUUCGACGAGUCGAGUUGUUUGGGAAUGCAGCUCUAAAUGGGAGGUAAAUUUCUUCUAAAGCUAAAUACCGGCCAGAGACCGAUAGCGCACAAGUAGAGUGAUCGAAAGAUGAAAAGCACUUUGGAAAGAGAGUCAAAAAGCACGUGAAAUUGUUGAAAGGGAAGCGCUUGCAGCCAGACUUGCCCGCAGUUGCUCACCCAGGCUUACGCCUGGUGCACUCUUCUGCGGGCAGGCCAGCAUCGGUUCGGGCGGUCGGAUAAAGGCCCCGGGAAUGUGGCCCCUCUCGGGGGGUGUUAUAGCCCGGGGUGCAAUGCGGCCAGCCCGGACCGAGGACCGCGCUCCGGCUAGGAUGCUGGCGUAAUGGCCGCAAGCGGCCCGUCUUGAAACACGGACCAAGGAGUCUAACAUCUAUGCGAGUGUUUGGGUGUCAAGCCCGGGCGCGCAAUGAAAGUGAACGGAGGUGGGAACCCCUCGGGGUGCACCAUCGACCGAUCCUGAUGUCUUCGGAAGGAUUUGAGUAAGAGCAUAGCUGUUGGGACCCGAAAGAUGGUGAACUAUGCCUGAAUAGGGUGAAGCCAGAGGAGACUCUGGUGGAGGCUCGCAGCGGUUCUGACGUGCAAAUCGAUCGUCAAAUUUGGGCAU